CUCCUUUGACGUUAGCGGCGGACGGGUGAGUAACACGUGGGUAACCUACCUAUAAGACUGGGAUAACUUCGGGAAACCGGAGCUAAUACCGGAUAAUAUUUCGAACCGCAUGGUUCGAUAGUGAAAGGUGGUUUUGCUAUCACUUAUAGAUGGACCCGCGCCGUAUUAGCUAGUUGGUAAGGUAACGGNUUACCAAGGCGACGAUACGUAGCCGACCUGAGAGGGUGAUCGGCCACACUGGAACUGAGACACGGUCCAGACUCCUACGGGAGGCAGCAGUU
This 281-nucleotide ribosomal RNA is filed under the name uncultured Staphylococcus sp. RNAcentral's name for it is "partial 16S ribosomal RNA". It matches the Rfam family "Bacterial small subunit ribosomal RNA", at positions 81 to 355 of the family's 1533-position model. The record is from RNAcentral. Lineage: Bacteria; Bacillati; Bacillota; Bacilli; Caryophanales; Staphylococcaceae.